GCACCGGCUAACUACGUGCCAGCAGCCGCGGUAAUACGUAGGGUGCAAGCGUUGUCCGGAAUUAUUGGGCGUAAAGAGCUCGUAGGCGGUUUGUCGCGUCUGCUGUGAAAUCCCGAGGCUCAACCUCGGGUCUGCAGUGGGUACGGGCAGACUAGAGUGCGGUAGGGGAGAUUGGAAUUCCUGGUGUAGCGGUGGAAUGCGCAGAUAUCAGGAGGAACACCGAUGGCGAAGGCAGAUCUCUGGGCCGUAACUGACGCUGAGGAGCGAAAGCAUGGGGAGCGAACAGGAUUAGAUACCCUGGUAGUCCAUGCCGUAAACGUUGGGAACUAGAUGUGGGGACCAUUCCACGGUCUCCGUGUCGCAGCUAACGCAUUAAGUUCCCCGCCUGGGGAGUACGGCCGCAAGGCUAAAACUCAAAGGAAUUGACGGGGGCCCGCACAAGCGGCGGAGCAUGCGGAUUAAUUCGAUGCAACGCGAAGAACCUUACCAAGGCUUGACAUAUACCGGAAACAUGCAGAGAUGUGUGCCCCGCAAGGUCGGUAUACAGGUGGUGCAUGGUUGUCGUCAGCUCGUGUCGUGAGAUGUUGGGUUAAGUCCCGCAACGAGCGCAACCCUCGUUCUAUGUUGCCAGCACGUAAUGGUGGGAACUCAUAGGAGACUGCCGGGGUCAACUCGGAGGAAGGUGGGGAUGACGUCAAAUCAUCAUGCCCCUUAUGUCUUGGGCUUCACGCAUGCUACAAUGGCCGGUACAAAGGGCUGCGAUACCGUAAGGUGGAGCGAAUCCCA
Molecule: ribosomal RNA, 786 nt
Filed under: Clavibacter michiganensis
Lineage: Bacteria; Bacillati; Actinomycetota; Actinomycetes; Micrococcales; Microbacteriaceae
Description: bacterial SSU rRNA
Rfam family: Bacterial small subunit ribosomal RNA
Source: RNAcentral